Molecule: ribosomal RNA, 351 nt
Filed under: uncultured bacterium
Lineage: Bacteria
Description: bacterial SSU rRNA
Rfam family: Bacterial small subunit ribosomal RNA
Source: RNAcentral
GUAGGUGGCGAGCGUUAUCCGGAAUCAUUGGGCGUAAAGAGGGAGCAGGCGGCAAUAGAGGUCUGCGGUGAAAGCCUGAAGCUAAACUUCAGUAAGCCGUGGAAACCAAAUAGCUAGAGUGCAGUAGAGGAUCGCGGAGUUCCAUGUGUAGCGGUGAAAUGCGUAGAUAUAUGGAGGAACACCAGUGGCGAAGGCGACGAUCUGGGCUGCAACUGACGCUCAGUCCCGAAAGCGUGGGGUGCAAAUAGGAUUAGAUACCCUAGUAGUCCACGCCGUAAACGAUGAGUACUAAGUGUUGGGGGUCAAACCUCAGUGCUGCAGUUAACGCAAUAAGUACUCCGCCUGAGUAGU